This is a long non-coding RNA of Venturia canescens, 1952 nucleotides long. RefSeq lists it as uncharacterized. The record is from RefSeq and is a predicted model, not a curated record. The transcript has 2 exons. NCBI's taxonomy places the organism in Eukaryota, Metazoa, Arthropoda, Insecta, Hymenoptera, Ichneumonidae.
UUGGUUGUCACACUAUUUUUCCUUUACCAAGCAAUUAUUUAGUGAUCGUGCUUCAAACUUUAGGGAAUUGAAGUAGGAAAAAAAAGUUCGUUUCUUGAUAUUGCGCGAUAAUGGAGAAAAUGGAAUUUCGAAUUUUUUUUUCCGAUAUCAAAGGAUUAUUUGACGACGAUCGCGAUGGAAACAUCUGGUUUCGAGCGAAAAAAUGUCGGUGUCUCUUUUUCACAUUCGUGUACGUGACGUAGAAAAAAACUUGCUCGUUUCGCUUUUUUGCGCUCUGUGUCUUUCCGUCCCUCUCGUAAUUUGUUCACCUCUUUUUUCUUCUCCCUAUAUCUAUAGACUUGGAACAUGUGAGGGCGUGUGGGGUUUAGAGAGAUGAAAAUAAAUGAAGGAAAGCUUGACAGAGAUACAUGCUCGGCAGACACCAAUGAUGUAACGAAAAGGCGGACGGAAUUCGAUCAAAUGACACUUUUAGCUCCGAGUUCACGUUGUUAAAAAUUGUGUUUAUCGCGUAUUCAUUCGUCUUAUCAGUAUUUAAAAAUCUACGUUCAAAAAAUCAUGUUUUCAAAAAAAAAGCACAUUUUUUUACAAUUUCUUUAUUGAAUUAACCUGCUCGCUCAACAUGUUCUUUCGUAAUUUCAUCGUUUUACAAAAUAAUAUUGACAGUGUGCAGGAGGCUUGUAAAGAGGUCGAUAUUUUUAGAAAUGAGCGUUAUCACCGAAGAUCACGUAGCAAAUGUGGCAGCAGGGCUCCAAUAAUUUAAUGACCUUAUACCGCACCCUGUAUAAGGAAUCCAGACUCGACGAGCCAUUUCGAUAAAGUUCCCGUGUGCGUCCAAGGAUAGAACUCGCUGUGAUGAGCCUCGCCUUCUUGACCCGAGUCGAUAAUUUUUAAUGCAUGUGCGGGGCUCAUGAAAUAGAUUGUACCCACCUUUAGAUAUUCGUGGAGCUGCUUCGCGUCUUGAAAAUCGUCGUGAAUUACUGGAAUAACCUAUAAAUGUUCGAGCGGAAAAAUGUCAUGAGAAAAGAUUUUGGAAACAAAGAAAGUAGUGCGGGAAGGGCGUGUAUUUCGUGGUGAUUUGUGAUUCGUUUAUGUUUCGAGAAUUUUUUGAAGCGUUGUCAAAGCAAUAAGUGAAAAGUGUCGGAGUGAAUCGAUCGUGAAACGGCUGGCACGUAACGAUGAAGAAUCUUUAUCGUCGCGAAGGUAAAUGGACAGAGCAACGCGAAUUUUCACGACUCCGUGUCAACUCGGUGAUCGCGGUAAUAUUACGAGGGUGAAAUUAUCCGAAUCAACGAUCGUUUGUAACGGAACGAGCACUCGAGCGGGGGAUCCUAUUCGUUGGACGUUGGAGCUAACGAGCCAUUGGCGCCAUUGGCGUAGGUUUGUCGUUAUGUCGCUUUGUGUGUAUUAGCUUUUGUGCCGCCGAUGCGCGGUGUGCGUUAUCAUCAAUUAGCUUCAGCCCUUUCGCUCGACAAAUGUUUCAUUUAGCAUCGGAUUCGACGAUUUUCUUCAAGGUGAGAAAUCGAACACCAGAAAAGCAUAAAUUUUCCACUCGGCUGUGGCAGAUCUUUUGUUCAGAAACAACGAGAUGUGCGAGGAACGAAACGAGGCAACUCGAACGUAAAAAAACUCGUUCGAAAGCUCGAUGACCAAUCGGAAACAACAUUUUCGUUUCUGUUACUCGUCUGACAUUGAAAUCGAGCAGACCGCCGUGAAGGGGGAUGCGAACGCUGUUGAAAUUCGGAAUGACAGCUAAAUUUAUACAUAUAUGUAAAUACACACGAAUUUAUAUAACCAUAUUUAUUUAAUUCACUCAUGUUAAAAUAAUGAUCACAAAAAGUUAUCGAACUCAAUCUCAUAAUAUCUACGUUAGAUUUUUUUAUAUAUAUGUACAAAUUUUAUGCAUUUGUCUAAAUCUUAUGAGACUAUAUUGUUAAAUGUAUUUGUAUUUGUAU